UGGGAAAAUGAACCAAUGCCAAUUUCACGUUAGAAUUUCCUUGCUGAAGCAGUAAAAUUAAUUUUUAAAACUCUCAACCCUUGGGUACAAUACAUUUUCCAUAUUCCGUGUGACUCAUAAUGUACUCCUGCUGUUGCUGACGGGCAGUGGUCGGUCAGAGCAGAAGCUCAGCUGUGAUUGCUGGGGGAGUUCUGAGCUCCAUGAGCCACUCUGGCCACGACACCAUCUUUACUUGAAAGAAAAACUGACAGACAAAUGGCAUUUAAUUGGAUUUAGGUAUCUGGCAGAUAUUUCCCAGAAAAGGAACAAACUGAGCCUCUUACUUCCAGAAACAGCUGACAUUAUUUAUUGCCAAUGGUAUACAUUUGAGCUUUUAAGCAAAAAUCAGAAUUUUGAAAAACUUUCUCCUAUCACCAUGACAACUUCCUCAUAAUGAGUUUUCUGAUGAGAUGGAUGGUGAUAUUAAGUGAUUUUUUGAUACUAUAUAAUGUAAUGUGUCAAAAAUUUGAAUUUCUGCAGAACUCUGUGAACCAACAUUUUUCAAGUGAACAUUCAUUUUUCCAUGAAAAACCACAUGUUCAAAGUGAGAGAGAACAGCGGAUUUAACUGCCACAGAGCCCAAAAGUCUAUUCAUGAGGCUUCAGAUUCCAUGUUAUAACCAGCCUUUAAGAAGCUACCACUUGUUGAGUUUUGGUGUAGUAGCAAAGAAUGUUCAUAGUUAGUUAGCUGAAAAAGGUACUAAAAUCCUUUUCCCUGUUUCAACUAUAAAAUGCGUGAGGCCAGAUUUUCUUGAUACAGUUCAACUGAAACAACACAUUUCCAUAGACUACAUCGGAAGCAGACGCAAGGUCCCUAGCUGUCUUCUAUUAAGCCAGACACUGACAGGAUUUGUGAAAAUGUACAACAAUGCUACUCUCUCAGUAAAUUAUUUUUUCAUUUUGGAAGAUGCUUAUCUUCAUAAAAUUAUUUAUGAUAACAUGCAAUGGAUUUAUAUGUUAUUUUUAAUGAAUUAUACAUGUUAUAAAUUUCUCACUUUUAAUUUCCAGUAGAGUAAAUAUCAAUAGACAUUGUUAUACAAAAAGCCUCUUUGGGGUCGGUACUUGUUAAGAGCGUAAAGGGGUCUCCAGUAAUGCAUUUGAGGCCUGCUAGUCCAGGCUGGUCUUGAGCUGCCCUUGAAAUCUUUGAAAAUGGAGCUGUGAUUUUUUUUUUCUUGCAAAACUGGGAGCUGGGCUGGCUCCAGCCGGCUUGCUUUUUGAGGAGUGACCAUUUCUGCACCAUUUGCUCUACAGGCAGCCACUGGGGAGAAUGCCUGCUGCGUUGCGUCUGCGUUUCACACCAGGCCGUUGGGGAGAGAUUGUGAGCGCCUUCAGGUCAGGAUUGGGGUCUUUGCAUCAAUGGCUGGAGCCUCAGCGCCCACUCCACACAGUAACAGCUCAGGAAAGGCCUGCUGGUUGAUCCCAAAUCCACGUAGAACGGUUCCAACUGCAGCGGGGAAGAUGGGCUGGUUUAAAAUAAAAAACCAGGUAUUGUUUCACUGGUGCCAGAACACCCAGCUCUUCCUGGUAUUAUGGGGUCUGCAGACCAGGUGGACCCCGGGAAUAGGCAGGGGCUAUAGUCGCAUUUUCAGAAGGUGAUCUGGAGCCAUGGAAAAUGCCCUACUCUCUGGCAGUUCUACCAGCCACCCUCAGACCACAGCUUCCCUGAAGGCCUGUGUGGUCAGGUUUUUCCUUUGUGUUAAUUUCCAGGCCGGGAGCUGACUAACUGCACAGGUCUACCCACAGCCACAUGAGAUGAAGUCAGGUGCAACGAUAUUUUCCCUAAGUGACUAGAGUUAGUGCCACAAGCAAACGAAUGAAUUCCCAGGAAGCUCAUCUUCUCACAUUGGUCCACAACAAGCCGACAUCAAAAACAAGCAUCUGAUCCAAGGAGAAGAGGGUCCACGACUCUACCAGCCAGAAUGUAGCGGCUUCCAGGGUGACCGUGGGUAUUGAGGGUGCGUGCGAGGGUGGGAGCAGCCAGUACCAGGUGCAGGCAGUAGGGGGUGCACUAUCUGUGGCGAAUUUAGGAAUCAUAACCGACUAGAAGUCAGUUUGCUUAUUACCACCGUGUGCCGGUAUCUCUGAACAAAGUCAGCAAUAACAUAUUCCUCCUCCGAAAAUCUGUUGUUGAUUGAAGUUUAAAAAAUUGCUGUGGCUACGGUUGCGUUUUAAUCACACAAACAAAAGCUUCAAAUUCGCAUAUCGUUGUUACUUAUCCUGAAAGUAACAUUACAUGGACGUUAGCAAUGACCCGACACAAAAUCUACUACCCACAUUCCUUCUGAGAAUCGCUCUGACAGUCAGAUCCUGUGGGCUGGCUCUGGGCACAGUCGGGGCCUCCAGGGCCCAUGAUUUCCUACCUCCCGGUGUCGAAACAGAGGACCCAAAAUAAAACACGAGAGUGCGGGAUGGUCAAAACGAAGACGCGGAACCUGCGUUCCUUCACUUCCCUCAUUCCAUGUGAACACUUGGAGUUACUGUGUCCAAAAUGCUUUUGUUCUGCAGACAUCUGAAAGCCACAAGAAUCCACCCUGAAGAACUGAACACACAGUGGGUGUUGUGAUUGCUGGAAUUUACUGUGAAAUGGGAUUUUUAAGAAUCUCUGCCAAAUGAUACCGUAUUAAAGACUUUUCCUAAGUAUCUGUGUAUCUGUUGCCUCACGAGAUUGGAGCUCUUCAAAAUCAAAGUUAACAGAUAGUAUUCUUGGACCAACUAUGAGUGAAGACAGCUGGCAACUCUGCCUACUGAACAUACAUUAGUAAAGAAGAUCAAUUUAAAUGAAACCAUUGUCAAACGUGUAGAUGCUAAGACCCAAAGCCAGAAACAAACAUUCAUUCCACCAUCUAUUACCCCAAGAGACCCAUAGGGAGGCAUGUUUUUUCUAUUAAAAAAAAACAAAAAACCCUUUUUAUGAUUAGUGUCAUUUUCUGCUUAGUUCUAAACAGUUUUGUGGUUUAGAGGAGGGAUGGGAACUGCUCAUCCUCUCCAGGUAUGAAAUAAACUAGGCGUGCUAGAGAGCGCGGCGAGCUGCACCAGCGCCACCCUGAACAGCAGCUGACACUAGGGCUCAGUGUCAGGAAGGCAGCAGCAAGUGGUGGGGCCUACCGCAAACCAAACUGGAGAAUGGGUGACACCAGGGGCAGGCCCACUGGCUGCAGGGGAAUGCUGCCAGGCGGGAACAGAACGCCAGCACUGGCAGACCUUCUGAGUGCACAAAAGGCCGGAAAUCCAGGCUUUGAUGAGAAUCCUUCCUGGUUUCAAAUAUUGGUAGCUAAUUCAAAUUUUAAAAAUGCCAGGCCUCCGUGAGCCUUGCAGGCUGCUAGUUUGCAGUGUCUGCUGCGGAUGCACUCCCUGCUCCUUCCAGACCUCCUGAGGUAUGUACUUCCCAGUCUGCUCCCUCCCUGUCCUUCCCAGCCCAGGCCUGAGCACAGAGGCUGCUCACACGGUGUGUAGGAUGAAUGGAUGGAGAUGGUGCGGAGGAGGGCAGGGCUUGCUGGGGCGGGCAGACUCGGCCACGACGGGGGCUCCACAAGCACCUGUCCUCCUGGGAUGGCAGGACAGAAAGCCGUACCACGGGACAGGCUUCUAGGGCCACCGCACCGGGAUGUUCCCGGGUGACUCGCUUCUGUGCCGUGCCCAGAUUCCCCUCGCUCUUGGGGGUCACGUGCCUUUGGAGGGUCUUGUGUGGCCACUCUGAGCGUUUUCUCAGUGGGGACCAUGGGCAGACUCAGAGACACAGGCGUCCCCUUGCCCUUCUCUUCUCGGGACAAAGCCCCCAAGCAGCAAGCCCUGCCUCCCUGGCCCUGCUUGCCAUUUCUUCCGUCAUUUCCGGGGCUGCUCUUGGGCCCUGGCCAGGCUUUUGUUUCCAGACCCUUCUGAAGGGUGGGCAUGAAACCCAGGGAGCCACGUGAAGCUGUCGCCUCAGCACAUGGGAACCCGCCCUGCGCACUCUCCCCGAACCCACCCCAACCCAGAACCCCCAGAAACCUCGCCGCCCCCCACCCCAUGACACCUCUCAGAGGGCUGGCUGGACCCAAACUGGGCCCCUCCCCCCCCCCCAGGGCACCCUGGAGAGCCUGC
Molecule: long non-coding RNA, 4118 nt
Filed under: Homo sapiens (human)
Lineage: Eukaryota; Metazoa; Chordata; Mammalia; Primates; Hominidae
Description: HSALNT0402084
Source: RNAcentral